GUUUUAAUAGUUUAUUAUAAAACAUUGGUCUUGUAAACCAAAAAUAAGUUACACUUUUAAAACU
RNAcentral lists this transfer RNA (64 nucleotides) under Hierodula sp. JYZ-2020. Its description in RNAcentral is "tRNA-Thr". It matches the Rfam family "tRNA". From Rfam's summary of the family: Transfer RNA (tRNA) molecules are approximately 80 nucleotides in length. Their secondary structure includes four short double-helical elements and three loops (D, anti-codon, and T loops). Further hydrogen bonds mediate the characteristic L-shaped molecular structure. tRNAs have two regions of fundamental functional importance: the anti-codon, which is responsible for specific mRNA codon recognition, and the 3' end, to which the tRNAs corresponding amino acid is attached (by aminoacyl-tRNA synthetases). tRNAs cope with the degeneracy of the genetic code in two manners: having more than one tRNA (with a specific anti-codon) for a particular amino acid; and 'wobble' base-pairing, i.e. permitting non-standard base-pairing at the 3rd anti-codon position. Lineage: Eukaryota; Metazoa; Arthropoda; Insecta; Mantodea; Mantidae. The record is from RNAcentral.